RNAcentral lists this ribosomal RNA (467 nucleotides) under uncultured bacterium. RNAcentral's name for it is "partial 16S ribosomal RNA". It matches the Rfam family "Bacterial small subunit ribosomal RNA", at positions 28 to 506 of the family's 1533-position model. The record is from RNAcentral.
GACGAACGCUGGCGGCGUGCUUAACACAUGCAAGUCGAACGGAAAGGCCCUGCUUUUGUGGGGUGCUCGAGUGGCGAACGGGUGAGUAACACGUGAGUAACCUGCCCUUGACUUUGGGAUAACUUCAGGAAACUGGGGCUAAUACCGGAUAGGAGCUCCUGCUGCAUGGUGGGGGUUGGAAAGUUUCGGCGGUUGGGGAUGGACUCGCGGCUUAUCAGCUUGUUGGUGGGGUAGUGGCUUACCAAGGCUUUGACGGGUAGCCGGCCUGAGAGGGUGACCGGCCACAUUGGGACUGAGAUACGGCCCAGACUCCUACGGGAGGCAGCAGUGGGGAAUAUUGCACAAUGGGCGGAAGCCUGAUGCAGCAACGCGGCGUGCGGGAUGACGGCCUUCGGGUUGUAAACCGCUUUCGCCUGUGACGAAGCGUGAGUGACGGUAAUGGGUAAAGAAGCACCGGCUAACUACGU